AAAAAAGGACAAGUUUGUCUACACACUCGGCGGGUACGUCGGCGACGUCGGCCUGCCUCCGGUGCCCCGCGAACCCACCAGGACGGACCAGGACGGGGAGGGGAAGGAGGCGACGAAGACGAAGACGCAGCGAAGAAGAGGCGAAGACGAAGAAGGAGGAGGAGAAGCAGAAGAACAACAGCAAGCACAAGAAGAGCGAGCGAGCAGCAGGAGGAUGGUCCUAAGCGAGAAUUGGUGGUGAUACAGAGGCUAUAAGUAUCGGUGCGGACUCGCGGAGGGCGACUGUUUGAGCCCUGUCGGCCUGGCCGACACAACGUUCCCCCGCGAAGCCAAGCCCGAGUCCCCCGUGAGAUGCCCAGUGCCCAGUGACAGACUGUGUGUGUGCCCGCCCUGCCCGUGGCCCUGCCCUUGGCCCUGCCCGUCCAGUGCCAAAGUGAAUCAGUGUUGGCCAGGACUUUGUCGGGUCCUUCCUCUCGCAGCUCAUCGGACCGCCAAAGCAAGGGCUGAUCAGGGGCCAUGGGGGGCUCCACGAGGGGCUCCAUGGGGGGCUGGUGCCUGGUCGUCGCGGUGCUCGCCGCGCAGGCCUGGCAGGCGGCCGCCCACUACGACAGCAGCGACUACGAGGACUACCAGGACGGCAGCUACCUGGCGCGGCCGCGGCGCCGGGCCUUCCAGUGCCAGGCCGAGGGAUACUUCCCCGACCCCAGCGACUGCCGGACGUUCUACCGCUGCGUGGACUUCGGCUCCAGCUCGGGGCUGACGGCCUUCCCCUUCGAGUGCGGCCCCGGCACCGUGUUCGACACCGCCAACAACGUGUGCAACCACCCGUCGGCCAGCGGCCGGCCCGAGUGCGGCGGCACCGAGUCCGAGACCAACAACGAGGUGCCGUCGGGGUCCUACGAGCCGCAGCAGCCGCAGCAGCCGCAGCAGCCGCAGCAGCCGCAGCAGCCCACCCCCAGCGAGAUCGGCGACGGCAAGUGCGACGGAGACGGCUUCUUCGGCGUGCAGGGCGACUGCAGCAAGUUCUACCGGUGCGCGGGCGGCAUCAAGUACGACUUCUCCUGCGGGGAGGGCACCGUCUGGGACCCCGAGAUCACGGCCUGCAACCACCCCUGGGCCGUCAAGCGCGGCGACUGCGCGGCCGGAGGACAACCCGGUGGACAGCCCGGCGGACAACCCGGUGGACAGCCCAGCGGCCCUGACGCCGGGUACAAUCCACCCUCAGGACGACCCCCACGACCCACCGGCCCCAUCUACGGCGGACAGGGCCCCACGGGACCCAUUGACAACUCGCAAGGACCAACCGGACCCAUUUACGGAGGCCAAGGGCCAACAGGACCUAUCUAUGGCGGCCAAGGCCCCACAGGGCCUAUUUAUGGUGGGCAGGGCCCUACUGGCCCCAUCUACGGAGGACAGGGACCGACUGGGCCGAUUGGAGGCGGUCAAGGACCAAACGGACCUAACGGACCUAACGGACCUAACGGACCUAAUGGACCCAACGGACCAAACGGGCCAAACGGGCCAAACGGACCAAACGGACCAAACGGACCUAAUGGGCCAACCGGACCCAUUUCUGGGGGACAGGGACCUACUGGACCAGUCUCGGGUGGGCAGGGGCCAACUGGUCCAGUCUCGGGAGGACAAGGUCCGAUUGGACCAGUUGAUAACUCGCAAGGUCCUACUGGGCCGAUUGACAACUCACAGGGACCCACGGGACCCAUUGACAACUCGCAGGGACCCACAGGACCGAUUGACAACUCGCAAGGACCCACAGGGCCGAUUGCAGGAGGGCAAGGACCGAAUGGACCCAACGGUCCGAAUGGACCUAACGGGCCAAACGGACCUAACGGACCGAAUGGCCCUAACGGGCCAAACGGACCUAACGGACCGAAUGGCCCUAACGGGCCAAACGGACCUAACGGACCAAACGGACCUAACGCACCGAAUGGGUCAAACGGACCUAACGGGCCAACAUCUGGUGGUCAAGGGCCGACGGGACCAAUUUCAGGAGGGCAAGGACCAACAGGGCCAAUUUCUGGAGGGCAAGGACCAACAGGCCCUAUCUCUGGCGGACAGGGACCAACUGGUCCAAUUUCUGGUGGGCAAGGGCCGACCGGGCCAAUCUCUGGGGGACAGGGACCGACAGGCCCCAUUUCUGGUGGGCAAGGACCGACAGGGCCAAUUUCUGGAGGACAGGGACCUACAGGUCCAAUUUCUGGUGGGCAGGGACCAACUGGGCCAAUUUCUGGAGGACAGGGACCGACAGGGCCAAUUUCUGGGGGACAGGGGCCUAACGGACCAAACGGCCCUAACGGACCAAACGGACCUAACGGACCAAAUGGACCUAACGGACCAAACGGACCCAACGGGCCUAACGGGCCUAACGGACCAACCAGCCCCGGCGGAAGCGGUAGCCCAAGUGAACCUGGUGCUUCCCCGGGCAGCCAGCCCGGAGGCCCCGGCUCUAACCCCGGCGGCAACGGCGGCAACGGUGGACAACCAGGGCAGGGUGGUCAGGGAGGUUAUCCUGGUGGUCAACCCGGACAGGGAGGACAGCCUGGAGGCCAGCCCGGACAAGGAGGACAACCAGGACAAGGUUAUCCAGGUGGACUGCCUGGACAGGGUGGUCAACCCGGACAAGGAGGACAGCCUGGACAGGGUGGACAACCCGGACAAGGAGGACAGCCCGGACAAGGAGGGUACCCCGGUGGUCAGCCAGGUCAGGGAGGUCAGCCCGGACAAGGAGGACAGCCUGGUGGACAGCCCGGACAAGGAGGACAACCUGGUGGACAGCCCGGACAAGGCGGACAGCCAGGACAGGGAGGGUACCCUGGUGGACAGCCAGGUCAGGGAGGUCAGCCCGGACAAGGAGGACAGCCUGGUGGACAGCCCGGACAAGGAGGACAACCUGGUGGACAGCCCGGACAAGGUGGACAGCCAGGACAGGGAGGGUACCCUGGUGGACAGCCAGGUCAGGGAGGUCAGCCCGGCCAAGGAGGACAGCCUGGUGGCCAACCCGGACAAGGCGGUCAGCCGGGACAAGGUGGAUCUGGAAAUCAGCCCGGACAAGGUGGACAGGAUGGCUGCAGUGGUGAGGGCUUCCAGCCCGCCCCCGGUGACUGCACCAAGUUCCUGCGGUGCGUGGACAACGGCCAGGGCGGCCUCACCAAGUACGAGUUCUCGUGCGGGCCCGGCACAGUGUGGGACCAGGCGCUGCUCACGUGCAACUACCCGUCCGCCGUGCAGGGCGAGUGCCACAACGCGCAGCCCGCGCAGGGCGGCGACGACGGCGACGACGGAUCGUACAAGCCGGACGGCGACGACGGCUCCUACAAGCCCGACAACGGCGAUGGCGGCGACGACGGCUCGUACAAGCCCGACAACGAGGAGAACCUGGUAUACCCCGAGGACGGCGGACAGCCCGGACAGCCUGGACAGCCUGGACAGCCUGGCGGCGGAGACCAGGGUGGACAGCCACCAGCGCCGGGUGACGGCACCUGCAGCCAAGAGGGCUUCGCGCCAGACCCAAGCGACUGCAAGAAGUUCAUCCGCUGCGUCAACAACGGCAACGGCCUCACGCGGUACAACUUCGACUGCGCCGCCGGCACGGUGUGGGACCAAGACGUGCUCACCUGCAACCACCCGUGGGCUGUGAAGCCCCCGUGCGGCACCGGGUCUCCUCAGAGCCCGGCCGGACAAGGACCCGACGGACCCAACGGCCCUAACGGACCCAAUGGAGGCGGACAGGGACCAAACGGACCUAACGGCGGAGGCGAGGGACCGAGCGGGCCUUACCCACCGGCUGGACCUCCUAGCGGACCUAGCGGGCCCAAUGGACCGAAUGGACCGAACGGGCCAAGCGGUCCUAGCGGACCUCAGGGUCCCAACGGACCAAAUGGCGGUGGACAGGGACCUAAUGGACCCAACGGGCCUAACGGGCCAAGUGGGCCUCAGGGGCCAAGUGGGCCUCAGGGGCCAGACGGGCCGAAAGGACCUAAUGGACCCAACGGACCAAACGGACCAGACGGCCCGAGCGGGCCUUACCCGCCCGCUGGUCCUCCCGACGGCUCCAACAAACCCGGCGGGCCUGAGAGCGGCGGCCAGAACGGAACCACCCCCUGUGAUAAGCCCAACAAACCCAAGCCCAAGCCGCAGAUCAAGUGCGAGAAGGCCGGCUUCUACCCGCACCCGUCCGACUGCAAGAAGUUCUACCGCUGCGUGGACUGGGACGGUGACAAGGGCCAGCGCUUCUCUGUCUUCUUCUUCGACUGCCCCGCCGGCACCAUCUGGGACCCCGCCCUGGACACGUGCAACCACGCCGACUCCGUGUACCCGCCCCGCGACUGCGACGGCGAGAGCCCUCCCGACUCCAGCUCGCCGCCUAGCGAGCCCUCGUCGGAGCCCACCACGCCGAGCUCGUCCGAGCCCACCACCGCGCCUUACAACGAGACGUCUACGACCCCGGCUGGCUCAUCCGAGCCCACGACCCCGGCUGGAUCUGAGCCCACCACCCAACCUGGCUCCUCGGAGCCCACCACCCCUGGGUCCACUGAGCCCACCACCGGCGGUUCGACCGACGCCGCCACGACGGCUCCACCAGAGUCGUCGACGGCCCCUGAAUCCACCACCCCGGCCGGCAGCACGACGCCCGAGUCCUCGACCACGCCGUCGAACGAGACGUCCACCGAGGGCACGACGCCAGCCGAUGGCAGCACCGAGUCCAGCAGCCCCGCCGCGACGACGCCAGACUCCACGACGCCCAGCGCCACCACGCCGGCCACCAACGAGACGUCCACCGAGCCCAGCAGCACCGAGUCGCCGAGCUCCACGGACGCCUCCAGCACCGAGGCCGGGGCCACCACCGCGCCGACCUCGCCGUCAGACUCCAGCACGCCAGCCUCCACGGACGAGCCCACCACGCCGUCGUCCACCGAGCAGCCCAGCACGGAGCCGUCGUCCACCCCCAAGCCGCCAAGCAACAACACCGAGUGCCCCGACCUGGAGGACAACCAGAUGCCGCUCGUGUGCCCCACGGGCUUCAAGCGCCACCCCAAGUUCUGCGACCAGUUCUACCAGUGCACGGGCGGCAACGGCGGCAACGACAUGAAGGUCCUGGUGCUGUCGUGCCCCAACGCCACGCUCUUCGACGAGGAGAAGAUCCAGUGUCUGCCCCAGGGCGAAACGACGCCCUGCAAGGGCUCCAUCGCCGGCGACCGGGUGCGGCGGUUCGUCGACGACGCCCCUCCUCCAGUUCAGAUUGCGACCAAAGGACAUCUGUGCCCCGAGGAGGGCCUGUUCCCCUACGACCAGGACUGCCUCCGGUUCUUCAAGUGCAAGAGGACGGCCAGAGGCCACCUCCAAGGCUACCUGUACCAGUGCCCCAAGGGCUUCGCGUACUGGGAGGUGUCCAAGCGGUGCGAGCGCAUCGGCCGCAUCCCACAGUGCCGGCGGGGCAUGGCCUACGACAACCGCUACACGGAGGCGGCGCUCGCCCCCACCGAGAUGUACAACGUCGGCGCGUAGGGGCCGCGGCGAGGACCGCGACGAGGACCGCGACGACCGGGGAACCCGAGGACCUCGGUGUUCCGGAGGGGGAAUAGGGAGGACGACGACGCGGUGCUGAGAGACGCGGGCCGUAGUGUCCAGUGUAGUGACGCGUGGGCGACCGCCGCUAGUUUGCUCAUAUUGAGCACGGUCGCGCCACUGGAGCAGCCGCCCCGUCGGCGGCGUUCCGUUUUGAUCUUACACAUUUUAAACUGAGUUAGCGUAAGACACGCAGUGAUUAGCUUAAACAUGUACUCGCACGACGUGUGCAUUACAGACCCAAGACUAGAAACUAGACUCACGAGCGACGUAACUUCGUAUCGGUAGUGCCACUUCUUCUCAAGUUUUAACUUAUUUUUUCUGUGUUUUUUUUACGACCGCUUUAAACUACAGGCUGAAGGAAACUGGCCGUAACAAGACAGCGAACUAGUAGACAUUAGAUUUUUUUACGUUCUGCAUACCAGCCAUUGACAAAUGUGAUCUGAGUUAUUUAAAGAAAAGAUAGGCUAGAUGUAUUUUACAAAUAUAAUAUGAAAAUUAGUUGAAUAGUAUCGGCCUCUCAUCUGCCACAAACACAAAGCCAGGGUAAUAUUUGCACUUUUAAGUCUGUGAUCUGCUUACAAUUUCCCUUUUAAUUAAUAACAACAAAAGUUGUUUUUCUGCACAAGCAGUUGAACCUUCUUUGCGGGGCAAUGCGUUGCGUACCGCCUUUUCUUUUUAUAUUUUUUUAAAUAAUCAUUUCUCUCUUUAUUUCCUUUUCCCCCCGAGUGCUUGUGCCGCCGCUUACUGAGAAAUGAAACACAAGAAAGACAUGGCCAAUGAGAGAGUCGCUCAGUGUGAAUGUGGCGGUUGUAUAUAAACCCUUUCGAGUGAAUGCGAAUUUUGUGUGAUGUGAGAGCGAGUGCAAGACUGUUUGUCCUUCUACAAUUAAAUAAAGUGCUAGAGAUUAAAACUGUGCAA
This 6504-nucleotide unclassified non-coding RNA is filed under the name Thrips palmi. RNAcentral's name for it is "collagen alpha-1(I) chain-like, transcript variant X3". Lineage: Eukaryota; Metazoa; Arthropoda; Insecta; Thysanoptera; Thripidae. The record is from RNAcentral.